Molecule: non-coding RNA, 52 nt
Organism: Rhizobiales bacterium TMED94
Lineage: Bacteria; Pseudomonadati; Pseudomonadota; Alphaproteobacteria; Hyphomicrobiales
Source: Rfam
AAGUGGGUUACCCCUCCCCAACGGGGGGCAACUAUCUGGAAGGAUAGAGUAA